UGCAAGUCGAACGCGAAAGUGGGGGCAACCCUGCGAGUAGAGUGGCGAACGGGUGAGUAACACAUCGGAACGUACCCAGGAGUGGGGGACAACCUCGAGAAAUCGAGGCUAAUACCGCAUACGUCCUGAGGGAGGAAGCGGGGGAUUCGCAAGGACCUCGCGCUCAUGGAGCGGCCGAUGUCGGAUUAGCUAGUUGGCGGGGUAAGAGCCCACCAAGGCUACGAUCCGUAGCUGGUUUGAGAGAACGACCAGCCACACUGGGACUGAGACACGGCCCAGACUCCUACGGGAGGCAGCAGUGGGGAAUUUUGGACAAUGGGGGCAACCCUGAUCCAGCCAUGCCGCGUGAGUGAAGAAGGCCUUCGGGUUGUAAAGCUCUUUCGGCCGGAACGAAAUCGGGAACGUGAAUAACGUUUCUGGAUGACGGUACUGCAAGAAGAAGCACCGGCUAACUACGUGCCAGCAGCCGCGGUAAUACGUAGGGUGCGAGCGUUAAUCGAAAUUACUGGGCGUAAAGCGUGCGCAGGCGGUUCUGCAAGUCAGAUGUGAAAUCCCCGGGCUUAACCUGGGAACUGCGUUUGAAACUACGGAGCUAGAGUGCGGCAGAGGGGGGUGGAAUUCCACGUGUAGCAGUGAAAUGCGUAGAUAUGUGGAGGAACACCGAUGGCGAAGGCAGCCCCCUGGGCCGACACUGACGCUCAGGCACGAAAGCGUGGGGAG
Molecule: ribosomal RNA, 720 nt
Filed under: uncultured soil bacterium
Lineage: Bacteria
Description: bacterial SSU rRNA
Rfam family: Bacterial small subunit ribosomal RNA
Source: RNAcentral